RNAcentral lists this unclassified non-coding RNA (391 nucleotides) under soil metagenome. Its description in RNAcentral is "partial contains 5.8S ribosomal RNA, internal transcribed spacer 2, and large subunit ribosomal RNA". The stretch from base 1 to 122 matches the Rfam family "5.8S ribosomal RNA", at positions 35 to 154 of the family's 154-position model. The record is from RNAcentral.
GAUGAAGAACGCAGCGAAAUGCGAUACUUGGUGUGAAUUGCAGAAUCCCGUGAACCAUCGAGUCUUUGAACGCAAGUUGCGCCCGAAGCCACUAGGCCGAGGGCACGCCUGCCUGGGCGUCACACGCCGUUGCCCCCCCAUCUACUCCUUCGGGAUUGCGGGGGGGCGGAUGAUGGCCUCCCGUGUGCCUAGCCGCGCGGUUGGCAUAAAUACCAAGUCCUCGGCGACGCACGCCACGACAAUCGGUGGUUGCGAAACCUCGGUUGCCCGUCGUGUGCGUUCGUCGCGCAUCGAGGGCUCGAAAAAAUGCUCGGCUCCGGCUGGGCUUUCAACGCGACCCCAGGUCAGGCGGGGUUACCCGCUGAAUUUAAGCAUAUCAAUAAGCGGAGGA